AACCAGCUCUUCAAGUGGUCGGGAUAAUUAUUGGGCUUAAAGUGUCCGUAGCUGGUAGGGUAAGUUCCUGGUAAAAUUGGGCAGCUUAACUGUCCUUAUGCUAGGAAUACUACUCUACUAGAGGGCGGGAGAAGUCUGAGGUACUACAGGGGUAGGGGUGAAAUCUUAUAAUCCUUGUAGGACCACCAGUGGCGAAAGCGUCAGACCGGAACGCGCCUGACAGUGAGGGACGAGAGCCAGGGGAGCGAACCGGAUUAGAUACCCGGGUAGUCCUGGCCGUAAACGAUGCGCACUAGGUGAUGGUGCGGCUAUGAGCCGCAUCAGUGUCGUAGGGAAACCGUUAAGUGUGCCGCCUGGGAAGUACGGUCGCAAGGCUUAAACUUAAAGGAAUUGGCGGGGGAGCACCACAAGGGGUGAAGCCUGCGGUUC
This 429-nucleotide ribosomal RNA is filed under the name uncultured archaeon. Its description in RNAcentral is "bacterial SSU rRNA". It matches the Rfam family "Archaeal small subunit ribosomal RNA", at positions 474 to 903 of the family's 1478-position model. The record is from RNAcentral.